RNAcentral lists this transfer RNA (81 nucleotides) under Deltaproteobacteria bacterium. Its description in RNAcentral is "tRNA-Leu". It matches the Rfam family "tRNA". From Rfam's summary of the family: Transfer RNA (tRNA) molecules are approximately 80 nucleotides in length. Their secondary structure includes four short double-helical elements and three loops (D, anti-codon, and T loops). The record is from RNAcentral. Lineage: Bacteria; Pseudomonadati; Myxococcota; Myxococcia.
GCGAGAGUGGCGGAAUGGCAGACGCGCUGGACUUAGGAUCCAGUUCCGUAAGGAGUAGGAGUUCGAGUCUCCUCUCUCGCA